CCUACGGGUGGCAGCAGUGAGGAAUAUUGGUCAAUGGGCGAGAGCCUGAACCAGCCAAGUCGCGUGAAGGAUGACGGCCCUACGGGUUGUAAACUUCUGUUGUCAGGGAGCAAGUGAGGCCACGUGGGGUCUUAGCGAGAGUACCUGAAGAAAAAGCAUCGGCUAACUCCGUGCCAGCAGCCGCGGGAAUACGGAGGAUGCGAGCGUGAUCCGGAUUUCUUGGGUUUAAAGGGAGCGGAGGCGGAAUAUCAAGUCAGCGGUAAAAAUUCGGGGCUCAACCCCGUCGUGCCGUUGAAACUUCUGUUCUUGCGUGUGCGAGACGUCUGCGGCAUGCGUGGUGUAGCGGUGACAUGCCUAGAUAUCACGCAGUACUCCGAUUGCGAAGGCAGCCUCCCGGCGCCCAACUGACGCUGAAGCACGAAAGCGUGGGUAUCGAACAGGAUUAGAUACCCCGGUAGUC
Molecule: ribosomal RNA, 460 nt
Filed under: uncultured bacterium
Lineage: Bacteria
Description: partial 16S ribosomal RNA
Rfam family: Bacterial small subunit ribosomal RNA
Source: RNAcentral